AUGGUGCCGCUGUUUGUUUUGCAAUGCCAACCCACGUGAGCGAGAAACGACGCCUUAACUGCUGGCAA
RNAcentral lists this small nucleolar RNA (68 nucleotides) under Trypanosoma cruzi. RNAcentral describes it as "C/D small nucleolar RNA (snoRNA), TB8C3C3". The record is from RNAcentral. Lineage: Eukaryota; Euglenozoa; Kinetoplastea; Trypanosomatida; Trypanosomatidae.